This 301-nucleotide long non-coding RNA is filed under the name Rosa chinensis. Its description in RNAcentral is "sRNA RchiOBHm_Chr2g0168031". The record is from RNAcentral. Lineage: Eukaryota; Viridiplantae; Streptophyta; Magnoliopsida; Rosales; Rosaceae.
GGCGAAGAUCCGACCGUUGGAUCUUCGUAUAAUUGUGAAUUAGUGAUUCGGAAGGCUAUUCGUGAGAAUCCGACCGUCGGAUUUUCAUGAAAUUUUGUGGAGAUGUUUAUAAGGACGAUUCAGGAAGAUCUGACCGUUGGAUCUUCGUGAUAAUUUUGGGGGAUGAUCCUAAGGGCGAUCCGUGAGGAUCCGACCGUUGGAUCAUCAUAUAAUUUCGAUCCGACCGUUGGAUCAUCGUUUAAUUUUGUUUAUGAGUUGUUGGCUAAGUUAUGAUCAUAUUGGAUUUAGGUGAUUGACGGUC